UACGAGGGGGGCAAGCGUUGUUCGGAAUCACUGGGCGUAAAGGGCGCGUAGGUGGUGGCUUAAGCGUGCGGUGAAAGCUCGGGGCUCAACUCCGAGUCGGCCGUGCGAACUGGGCUCACUGGAGCAUAGUAGAGGCAGGUGGAAUUCCGGGUGUAGCGGUGGAAUGCGUAGAGAUCCGGAAGAACACCGGUGGCGAAGGCGGCCUGCUGGGCUAUGGCUGACACUGAGGCGCGACAGCGUGGGGAGCAAACAGG
This 254-nucleotide ribosomal RNA is filed under the name uncultured bacterium. RNAcentral's name for it is "partial 16S ribosomal RNA". It matches the Rfam family "Bacterial small subunit ribosomal RNA", at positions 524 to 776 of the family's 1533-position model. The record is from RNAcentral.